UUUUUUCAUUUUCUGAGACCGGAAGUGGUCAUCAGCAAGUGUGGAGCCAAACGACAACAAGAUUCUCAGAGGGCGGAACCAGAGAGCAGUGAUUGGUCAGACUGACUGAGAGCUAGAGAGCAGCGAUUGGUCAGACCACAGAUAAUAUAGAAGACAGCGCGCUAGCGGAGCUAGUAUACUAUGUAUCUAUGGUCGGCACGUUUGGUAGCAUCUGUGGCUGCUGUUGACCUUGUUUUUGGAGUAAAACACGGUGGAAGCUGAAUUAGUGAGGAUGACUCCUGCUCCUGUCAUCUCUAAGCUCCUCACACAUCUUUACCUGCACAUGAGGAAAAUCACUCCUGUAGAAUGCAGGUAUGUUUGUCAUUAUUAUAAAAAGAUGUUGACUGGUGACCUGUCAGAAACCCAUUAUACAGAGUCAGCCAAAAUAAUGUUUACACACAUCAGGAAAAGAAAAACUAGCAUAAAUAUUUCAAUACCAAAUUUAUUCAGACAUCCUGAGAUUAAUAAAAGUUAUCUUUGGCCUCUACAAUUACAAGAGGUGCUCAAAGUGGUGGCCACUGGCUUCCAGACAUUUCUGUUCUGUUGUAGACGUCACUUAUUGAUGCUCCAUUCAUGAGGGUAAUGCCAUCUGUUGGGAAAACGUCGUACAACAGGACACAGAGUUAUCGUGAUUUGAUCAAACUUUGAAAGAGGAAUCUAUAUGUAUAGAAGUACUUAUACAAAUGAAAUAUUUAUAAAAGUUUUUCUUUUCCUGAUGUGUGUAUACAUUAUUUUUGGCUGACUCUGAACUUAAUGAGAACAAAACUGUCAUUUAAUCGUUUCUCUGAAAGCUUCUUUAGUGAAAACCGGCUGGUGUUCUGCUUUGAAACAAACUGCUGUUGAGGUCUGUGUUUAUAGGUUUAACCCCACAGUUUCUGAAUGAACUGAUAGUUGUUUUUUUCCCUGAUCAAUGUGGACGUUAUAAUUGAUGGUAACAUUUACUGGUCAUAUAAUCAGCAUGACAAUACAACAGUAUAACAUUAUGACCACCUGACUAAUACUGUGUUGGUCCCUUUAUGCUGCUAAAACUCCUCUGACCCAGUGGUUCAUCAGAACCUCUGGGGAUGUCCUGUGGAUUCUGUGGAUCCUGUGGGUUGCAGGGUGGGUCCUACCUAGACCAGGCUGAUCCUGGACCAUCCCACAGAUGCUCCAUCAGAUGUGGAUGUGGGGAGUGUGGAACCCAGAUGUUCAGAGGGAGAUGAUGCCACAUCUGGUCCAGCUGAUGGAAGGUCUUGAAGUUCUCUGACUGGCCUCGACUGAAGAUGGUCGUCUCACUGGAUUUAAGAGAUGCACAAUGAGGGACGUCUGCAGAGACUGAGAAAGAGUCUCACCACAUCCUGACAUGAGGAAAAAGACUUUAUUGAAGACUGCAAUGAGAAAAACUAUCAGACAGCAGAUGGCUGCCAUUCAAGGUGAGCUCUGAACAUUUGAUCUGGAACAGGAAUUCAAUAACGGCAGCAUGAGCUUCAUUUCAGUCUGUAGCUGCUGAAUUCAUGGAUGAAUCAUCUGGCACUCGAGAGGAAGACCAUCAAACAUCCAUGUCAGCUGAUGGAGGUCCAAGAGUCUCACCGAACAAACAACCUACAGAGUGAAGACCUCAAAUCUGAUUGGACGGCCUCCUAUUCAGCCACGUGUGAACAAAUGCCUCUAAGCUGAUUUGUUUUCUAAAAUAAAUCUAGUUUGAGUCCUAAUCUAUGCCUGUGUGUUUGCUUCUUUACACCGCUGUUAACAGUUUAGGCUGUUAGAUUGUUCCAGAUAAGACAAGUAC
This is a long non-coding RNA of Amphiprion ocellaris (clown anemonefish), 1807 nucleotides long. NCBI's taxonomy places the organism in Eukaryota, Metazoa, Chordata, Actinopteri, Pomacentridae. The record is from Ensembl.